UGGCUUUGAUAUAAAGUACUUAGCCAGCUCUAUAAUUUAGUGACUUCCCUUGGCUAAGUACAACUUACCCCUCUUCUUUUUCUUUACUUUCUCUCACCAGCUAUUCCAGAAGGUGCCUGGACCCAUCUUACAUGUCCUGUGAUGCUACCAGCUGCAUUUCAAAAAGCCAGGGAAAGCAGGGACAUAACUAACCUCCUCCAGGCUUCCCUGCUGGUCUCCUGCAGCAAGGUGGGACAGAGCAGCUGCUGCCAAGCAGGUGAGGUAUCAGCCAUACAGAGAAGAGGACAGAGUGGCUGCUUUGGUUUACCCACCUACGGCAGAGGGAGAGCUGGCAGGGCUGCCCUCAGGGCUCCGGCACUUGCUGGUAUCAUCACAGCCCUGCAGAGGCAAGAGCACAGCCCUCUCUUGCCCUCCUGUCUUUCUCCACAUCGCUUUCACCAGGAGCCAUCUCCCCCUGCCUGGUAUCAUGCUGGCAGCAGGGGAGCCAUGCCAGCCCACUAGUCCUGGCCUGGCCUUUGCUCUGAGCGUCAGGCAGCCAGAACAGGAUGAGAAUCUCACCCUCUUCUCCCCCAGGGUUUGUCUCAUCAUGAAAUACAAGGGAAGAAGCUUAUGAAGCUUCUGAAAAAAAAACCCUCCCUCUCUUGUCUUUAACUUCCCACUGUUUUAAUCCUAGACCAUCUGCAGGAGAAAUAUGUUUAGAUAUAGCUUGUGCAUCAGCGCAGGUGAAUUUUUCUGUGCCUUGAAAAAUGGGACAAUACCUUCCUACAGAUAUUGAUUGUCAUUCCACAUCUAUGCUGUCCUCCUAACUUCAGAUCAAUUUGUGCUUUACCAAGUGGUUUGAUGUCAUCUUAUGGCAGAACGCUAACUUUUUCCCUUUAAGGCUAUUUAUCUCUGUCCCUUUGUAAGGUCAGGGAAAAUCACUGUACUCUGGCCCCCCAAAAGUAAUUCAUCUAGUGGAGGAAAUGAUGAGGCAGUAUUAUGUCUGGCAGCCUUUUUAAACAAGUCCUCAGAAACAUCAAGAAAAACCUGAUAGGCUUGGGCAGGGAGGGGGGAAUUGAGGAAGUUACAGGAGCAAGUCUGAAAGCAAUCAAGGGAAAGCUCAGAGUUUAUAUUCUGGAAAUGUUCCCUCUUCCUGAAUAUAUUUGCAGACAUCUUUCACUGUUACUGAGGGGGGAAAAAUUAAUAAUAAUCCAAGCAGGCUCCCGAGCGAAGGGUGGCCAUGAGUCUGAAUUGGAAGGAUAAUUUAUCUCCCCCGCCACUUUGAAGCCUUUUAGCCUGGGGGGGAUCCCUUGUCUAAUGAAAUUAAUUGAGUGCGUCUGCAGCCUGGGUACUCCAUCUGAAUUCCAGUUUCCCCCUCGCUUCGAAGUUGCCAGGUAUCUGCUCACCUCCAAAGUGACCUAAGUAAAUGCACCGUGUGUCAGUGCUGCUCCUUCUCAUGCAAAUCACAGCCCAGGUAGUGAGUGGUUCCUGGCUCUGCCGCUGCCUGGCCACGCUCUCCCUAAGCUCCAUGCACAGAAGGCAGCCAAAUGUUAGAAAAAGUUAGAGAAUAAAUUCUGUCCCAGGCUAUUUUUAAAUGCA
Long non-coding RNA from Anser brachyrhynchus (Pink-footed goose), 1578 nucleotides. The record is from Ensembl. NCBI's taxonomy places the organism in Eukaryota, Metazoa, Chordata, Aves, Anseriformes, Anatidae.